RNAcentral lists this ribosomal RNA (387 nucleotides) under uncultured bacterium. RNAcentral's name for it is "bacterial SSU rRNA". It matches the Rfam family "Bacterial small subunit ribosomal RNA", at positions 30 to 419 of the family's 1533-position model. The record is from RNAcentral.
AUUGAACGCUGGCGGCAUGCCUUACACAUGCAAGUCGAACGGCAGCACGGGGCAACCUGGUGGCGAGUGGCGAACGGGUGAGUAAUGCAUCGGAACGUGCCAUUGAGUGGGGGAUAACGUAGCGAAAGUUGCGCUAAUACCGCAUAUUCUGUGAGCAGGAAAGCAGGGGACCGCAAGGCCUUGCGCUCUUUGAGCGGCCGAUGUCAGAUUAGCUAGUUGGUGAGGUAACGGCUUACCAAGGCGACGAUCUGUAGCGGGUCUGAGAGGAUGAUCCGCCACACUGGAACUGAGACACGGUCCAGACUCCUACGGGAGGCAGCAGUGGGGAAUUUUGGACAAUGGGCGCAAGCCUGAUCCAGCCAUGCCGCGUGAGUGGAGAAGGCCUUC